This 253-nucleotide ribosomal RNA is filed under the name uncultured bacterium. Its description in RNAcentral is "partial 16S ribosomal RNA". It matches the Rfam family "Bacterial small subunit ribosomal RNA", at positions 524 to 776 of the family's 1533-position model. The record is from RNAcentral.
UACGGGGGGGGUAAGCGUUGUUCGGAAUUACUGGGCGUAAAGGGCGCGUAGGCGGCGUGUCAAGUCAGGCGUGAAAGCCCCGGGCUCAACCUGGGAACCGCGCUUGAGACUGGCAUGCUCGAGUUCGGGAGAGGAUGGUGGAAUUCCCAGUGUAGAGGUGAAAUCCGUAGAUAUUGGGAAGAACACCGAUGGCGAAGGCAGCCAUCUGGGCCGACACUGACGCUGAGGCGCGAAAGCGUGGGGAGCAAACAGG